Molecule: ribosomal RNA, 946 nt
Filed under: Dryophthorus corticalis
Lineage: Eukaryota; Metazoa; Arthropoda; Insecta; Coleoptera; Curculionidae
Description: partial large subunit ribosomal RNA
Source: RNAcentral
AGCCCAGCACCGAAUCCCGCGGCCGACAUCGGGCGCCGGGAAAUGUGGUGUUUGGGAGGGUCCAUUAUCUCGAGACUAUGCGGUGCGUCCAAGUCCUUCUUGAACGGGGCCACAGCCCAUAGAGGGUGCCAGGCCCGUAGCGACUGCCGCUGGUAGCGAGAGGAUCUCUCCUUAGAGUCGGGUUGCUUGAGAGUGCAGCCCUAAGUGGGUGGUAAACUCCAUCUAAGGCUAAAUAUAACCACGAGACCGAUAGCGAACAAGUACCGUGAGGGAAAGUUGAAAAGCACUUUGAAGAGAGAGUUCAAGAGUACGUGAAACCGUUUAGGGGUAAACCUGAGAAGCCCGAAAGGUCGAAGGGAGAAAUUCAUUCGCGACUCGCGAUAGGCAUUAAGUUCGAGAGUGACGGAGGACGUUCGCGUCGUUCCGCSCCACGAGCUUAACGAUCCCGUUGCGAACGCGUGCACUUUUCUCCUGGUAGGACGUCGCGAUCCGUUGGGUGUCGGUCUACGGCUGACGGUGGAGCCCGAAAGUACGGCUUGCCGUUGCUUUCGGACCCGUUUGUCCUGGCCGACUCGCUCGACGGUAUCUCGAAGGUAUUGGGCCGCUCUUCUCUGAGCGUCUGACUCGCGGCAAGCGCGUCAGUUGCGUCGGUGCGCGGACUUAGUGCCGCUCCCGACCUCUGAUGACUGUUGGCCGUGAAGUUCUCGGACAGACCCUUUUACCGAUCUGCGACGCUAUAGCUUUGGGUACUUUCAGGACCCGUCUUGAAACACGGACCAAGGAGUCUAGCAUGUGCGCGAGUCAUUGGGAAUUACUAAACCUAAAGGCGCAAUGAAAGUGAAGGUUUGCCUCGCGUAAACCGAGGGAAGAUGGGCGAUUCACCCUUAAAAGUGGUCGUCCCGCAUUCCCGGGGCGUCUCAUUCUCAUCGCGAGAAGAGGCGCACCA